CUGGAGUGACUUGGAGAGUGGCAGUGACAAAACCAAAUAAGGGACGACGUGUGCUUUAUAAGGCUCAUUAUAGGUGCCAGCACAAUGUUUAUGUCCGAUCAGGCACGGCUAAUAAAAGACGGCUGUCAAAAAAUACAUGCUGUGAGGCAAAAAUGGUUUGCACUCUGGUGAAGACUGUAGACAAAAGGGGAGGAUCUAGCAGGAGCAAUGAUCCCCAUAUACCCACUUAUCCAACUUCUGUGCACUUGUACAAUGUACAUAACCAUAACAUCUUUGUUGCGGAGGC
Molecule: long non-coding RNA, 286 nt
Organism: Labeo rohita (rohu)
Lineage: Eukaryota; Metazoa; Chordata; Actinopteri; Cypriniformes; Cyprinidae
Exons: 3
Source: RefSeq, a predicted model, not a curated record